RNAcentral lists this ribosomal RNA (533 nucleotides) under Tetralia glaberrima. RNAcentral describes it as "partial 16S ribosomal RNA". It matches the Rfam family "Bacterial large subunit ribosomal RNA", at positions 1810 to 2603 of the family's 2925-position model. Lineage: Eukaryota; Metazoa; Arthropoda; Malacostraca; Decapoda; Tetraliidae. The record is from RNAcentral.
AAACCAUGUCUACUUGAAGAUGUAAGUAGUCAGGCCUGCUCACUGACUGAACCUGUUUAAGAGCCGCGGUAUUCUGACCGUGCAAAGGUAGCAUAAUCAUUAGUUUUUUAAUUGAAAACUGGUAUGAAAGGUUAGACAAGAAAAAAGCUGUUUCAAUUAUAAUUUUUGAAUUUAACUUUUAAGUGAGAAGGCUUAAAUUGCUUAGAGGGACGAUAAGACCCUAUAAAGCUUUAUAUAAAUAUUAAAGUUGAUUGAAGUUGUAUUAAGAGUUAAUAAUAAGUAAUAUAUUUUGUUGGGGCGACAUAAGUAUAAUUUUUAUAACUGCUUAUAUUUAUAAUCAUUUAUUAAUGGAUAAAUUUUAGAUGACCCUAUAUUAUAGAUUUAAAGAUUAAGUUACUUUAGGGAUAACAGCGUUAUUUUACUUGAGAGUUCCUAUCGAAAGUGAAGUUUGCGACCUCGAUGUUGAAUUAAAGUUUCUGUAUAAUGCAGCCGUUAUAUAAGAAGGUCUGUUCGACCUUUAAAUUUUUACGUGA